RNAcentral lists this transfer RNA (65 nucleotides) under Dipodomys ordii (Ord's kangaroo rat). It matches the Rfam family "tRNA". From Rfam's summary of the family: Transfer RNA (tRNA) molecules are approximately 80 nucleotides in length. Lineage: Eukaryota; Metazoa; Chordata; Mammalia; Rodentia; Heteromyidae. The record is from Rfam by way of RNAcentral.
GGUGGCUCAGUGGUAGAGUGCUUGCCUUGCAUGCAUGAGGCUCUGGGUUUGAUCCCCCAGCACCA